UAUUGGACAAUGGGGGAAACCCUGAUCCAGCAAUGCCGCGUGAGUGAUGAAGGCCUUCGGGUUGUAAAGCUCUUUUACCUGCGAUGAUAAUGACGGUAGCAGGAGAAUAAGCCCCGGCUAACUUCGUGCCAGCAGCCGCGGUAAUACGAAGGGGGCUAGCGUUGUUCGGAAUUACUGGGCGUAAAGGGCGCGUAGGCGGCGCUGUAAGUGAGAUGUGAAAGACCUGGGCUUAACCUGGGAAGCGCAUUUCAGACUGCAGUGCUAGAGUGCGAGAGAGGAAAGUGGAAUGACGCAUGUAGAGGUGAAAUUCGUAGAUAUGCGUUGAACACCAAGGCGAAGGCAACUUUCGGCUCGCAACUGACGCUAAGGCGCGAAA
RNAcentral lists this ribosomal RNA (376 nucleotides) under uncultured bacterium. RNAcentral describes it as "bacterial SSU rRNA". It matches the Rfam family "Bacterial small subunit ribosomal RNA", at positions 362 to 758 of the family's 1533-position model. The record is from RNAcentral.